RNAcentral lists this ribosomal RNA (367 nucleotides) under Systellaspis braueri braueri. RNAcentral's name for it is "partial 12S ribosomal RNA". The record is from RNAcentral. Lineage: Eukaryota; Metazoa; Arthropoda; Malacostraca; Decapoda; Oplophoridae.
UAUUAUACCUUGCUGAAAAUGAAAAAAUACUUGAAGAGUAACUAGUUAUGUUCUUGAAACUUAAAGGAUUUGGCGGUAUUUUAGUCUAGUUAGGGGAACCUGUUUUAUAAACGAUAUACCACGCAGUAUCUUACCUUUUAUUAGUAAAAUCAGUUUGUAUACCGUCAUUAUUAGAUAAUCUCAAAAGGGAGUUAUUAGAAAAGUAAAUAUUAUUUAUAUAUUAGAUCAAGGUGCAGCUUAUAUGGAGGAAAUAAAUGGGUUACAAUAUAAUUUAUAUAUACGGAGAUUAUAAUAGAAUAUUAUAUGGAAGGUGGACUUAAAGGUAAUGGUUUUUUAGUAUGGUAUUAUGAUAUUGGCUCUAAAAUAU